This 492-nucleotide ribosomal RNA is filed under the name uncultured bacterium. RNAcentral's name for it is "partial 16S ribosomal RNA". It matches the Rfam family "Bacterial small subunit ribosomal RNA", at positions 29 to 507 of the family's 1533-position model. The record is from RNAcentral.
AUUGAACGCUGGCGGCAUGCUUUACACAUGCAAGUCGAACGGUAACAGGCCUUCGGGUGCUGACGAGUGGCGAACGGGUGAGUAAUGCAUCGGAACGUACCCAGAGGUGGGGGAUAACGCAGCGAAAGCUGUGCUAAUACCGCAUGUGAUCUGAGGAUGAAAGCGGGGGACCGAGCAGCAAUGUUUGGCCUCGCGCCUUUGGAGCGGCCGAUGUCGGAUUAGCUAGUUGGUGGGGUAAAGGCCUACCAAGGCGACGAUCCGUAGCUGGUCUGAGAGGACGACCAGCCACACUGGGACUGAGACACGGCCCAGAGUCCUACGGGAGGCAGCAGUGGGGAAUUUUGGACAAUGGGCGCAAGCCUGAUCCAGCAAUGCCGCGUGCGGGAAGAAGGCCUUCGGGUUGUAAACCGCUUUUGGCAGGAACGAAACGGUGUCCGCUAAUACCGGGCGCUAAUGACGGUACCUGCAGAAUAAGCACCGGCUAACUACGUG